Molecule: non-coding RNA, 142 nt
Organism: Tumebacillus sp.
Lineage: Bacteria; Bacillati; Bacillota; Bacilli; Caryophanales; Alicyclobacillaceae
Source: Rfam
AAGUCCUUUAAACUGAUCCUGUGAGGUCGGUAAGGAGUCGGCGCAGAGGCCGGAUGCUUGCGAGCAUCUCCGGUACUCUGUAAACAACUGUGCACGUAUAAGCAGGAGGCUUCUUCCAUCCAGGGAAGAAGCCUUUUUUUGU